UACCAGCACCCCGAGUGGUCGGGACGUUUAUUGGGCCUAAAGCCUCCGUAGCCGGUUCUACAAGUCUUCCGUUAAAUCCACCUGCUUAACAGCUGGGCUGCGGAAGAUACUAUAGAGCUAGGAGGCGGGAGAGGCAAGCGGUACUCGAUGGGUAGGGGUAAAAUCCGUUGAUCCAUUGAAGACCACCAGUGGCGAAGGCGGCUUGCCAGAACGCGCUCGACGGUGAGGGAUGAAAGCUGGGGGAGCAAACCGG
RNAcentral lists this ribosomal RNA (253 nucleotides) under uncultured bacterium. RNAcentral describes it as "partial 16S ribosomal RNA". It matches the Rfam family "Archaeal small subunit ribosomal RNA", at positions 474 to 727 of the family's 1478-position model. The record is from RNAcentral.